This 498-nucleotide ribosomal RNA is filed under the name uncultured bacterium. RNAcentral's name for it is "partial 16S ribosomal RNA". It matches the Rfam family "Bacterial small subunit ribosomal RNA", at positions 28 to 507 of the family's 1533-position model. The record is from RNAcentral.
GACGAACGCUGGCGGCGUGCCUAAUACAUGCAAGUCGAACGAGAGCAACCGGUGCUUGCUCUGGUCAAUCUAGUGGCGAACGGGUGAGUAACACGUGGGUAACCUGCCCAUCAGAGGGGGAUAACAUCCGGGAACGGAUGCUAAAACCGCAUAGGUCUUCGAACCGCAUGGUUUGAAGAGGAAAAGGUGCGCUAGCUUCUGCUGAUGAAUGGACCCGCCGUGCAUUGGCUAGUUGGUGAGGUAACGGCUCACCAAGGCCUUGAUGCAUAGCCGACUUGAGGGGGUGAUCGGCCACAUUGGGACUGAGACACGGCCCAAACUCAUACGGGAGGCAGCAGUAGGGAAACUUCCGCAAUGGGCGCAAGACUGACGGAGCAACGCCGCGUGAGUGAAGAAGGUUUUCGGAUCGUAAAACUCUGUUGUUAGGGAAGAACAAGUGCUAAAGUAACUGUUAGCGCCUUGACGGUAUCUAACCAGAAAGCCACGGCUAACUACGUG